GAAUCUUACCGGGUCCGGACAUAUCGAGGAUUGACAGACAGUUACCAUGCCCUUUCGAAAGGAGUCAGGUUUUAAACCUAAUGGCUCUUUCAUGAUUAUAUGAUAGGUGGUGCAUGGCCGUUCUUAGUUCGUGGAGUGAUCUGUCUGCUUAAUUGCGUUUCAAAUUUUUAUUUGAGGACC
This 180-nucleotide ribosomal RNA is filed under the name Globigerinoides ruber ruber. RNAcentral's name for it is "partial small subunit ribosomal RNA". It matches the Rfam family "Eukaryotic small subunit ribosomal RNA", at positions 1210 to 1356 of the family's 1831-position model. The record is from RNAcentral. Lineage: Eukaryota; Foraminifera; Rotaliida; Globigerinidae.